AACUUUUGGCAAUGGAUCACUUGGCUCUUGCAACGAUGAAGAACGCAGCAAAGUGCGAUAAUUAGUGCGAUUUGCAUGAAUCUGUGAGUCAUCAAGUAUUUGAACGCAACUUGCGCUCCCUUGGAGCAUGUCUGUUUGAGUGGUGUAUUACCAACGAUACAUGUGAGUGUGGAUGAAAAUGUGAGUUGCAUUUGCAUUUGCAUUGCAUUCGAUUGUGAAUUGCUAGUCCAGUGCGUGUCUAGUUAAAUAGAGAUGAUAUUUCAUGGAGGAGAAGGGUCUUUCUUUAAAGUUAGAGACUGCAAGUCUUGUUUGGAGAAGGACCAAUCCAUCCACCUAUUACCACCCUCAAAUCAGUCAAGACUACCCGCUGAACUUAAGCAUAUCAAUAAGCGGAGGCU
This 398-nucleotide unclassified non-coding RNA is filed under the name uncultured Basidiomycota. RNAcentral describes it as "sequence contains ITS2". The stretch from base 1 to 145 matches the Rfam family "5.8S ribosomal RNA". Lineage: Eukaryota; Fungi; Basidiomycota. The record is from RNAcentral.